AGUCAUUCUCCUAUACCCCUUUCCCUUCCUGUUUCAUGGACUAACAAGAGGCUGGUGCGGACAUCUACUUUCUGUUUUUCCUUUUUGUGGCGAAAGCAUGGUGUGGGCUUCUGUUCUGUCCCAGAAAAAGAAGAGAAUUUGAGAAGAAUGAGCCUCUCGGGAUGGGAGGAAGUUUUGGCUUGCUUAGCAACAACAUGACUCAGCAGUGAAGUUAAGCUUUCCAAAGGGCACCUGUGACUUGACUGAAGGCAUCAUACAGGGACUCAGAAGAGAAAAUGAAGCAGACAAUUCAACCUCUCGUCAAGUAUUAAAUAAAACAUAAUUUUCAACAGAAAACAUAAAGUGCAACCAAGAUUUCAAAACAAACCAGAAGAGUCAAAAUUGCCCAAAUCACAUAGUUUGGGUAUAAAUGAAAGUGUAAGAGUUAUAGUCUCCCUAUGUAGUGAGUAGAGUGUGUACGGAGUGCAUAAUGUGUGCCUACGCCUGUGUGAGGGGCAUUCCAUUAAGAUUUCAGAGAAACCACCAUGCAGUGAAUUACUGGACAUAUACUGGCACUGUGUUCUCUCAGCUGCUUAUAUUGAGUUGGUAAGAUGUGAGUCACCCUACUAUACAGUUGAUCAUCGGAAGACCUCGUGCCACAAAAGCAAUGAGACUGGGAUUGUUUCUAAGUGAGUAUAUGGUCCAAAAAGGGAUGAGAUGCGCAAACUACAAUAUGGCAAAAUGCUCCACCAGCUGCAAACAUUAAGCCUCAACCAAGAUACUUAGGAAGUGGGGCAAGUCAUUAAAUUGUAUUUUGUGGUCAGCUGUGGCUAAUGUGGAAAAUCCCUUUUUGUUUCAAAAAUGUUAUUCAAAGUUCUUCUGAAAUGCAUUAAAUCACUCUCCUGCCUUUGAAGCUUAUGUCUUUAACACAGAGCAGAAUCAAUGCAGAAGCUUGGGAGACUACUCUGAAUGUAUUCUCAUCUCUAGAUUUAUGCUGGAAUACGCUUUUUUGAGUCUUCUAACAUGGUCUGAUUUUUUUGCUUUCUUAUGCCCCCU
Molecule: long non-coding RNA, 1035 nt
Filed under: Homo sapiens (human)
Lineage: Eukaryota; Metazoa; Chordata; Mammalia; Primates; Hominidae
Description: HSALNT0086953
Source: RNAcentral